Maylandia zebra (zebra mbuna) is the source of this 1350-nucleotide non-coding RNA. Lineage: Eukaryota; Metazoa; Chordata; Actinopteri; Cichliformes; Cichlidae. The record is from RefSeq and is a predicted model, not a curated record.
GUUGUUUUCUGUUUUUAUGGCCGGCGAUAUAGGUAUUAUAAUGUCCAAUGAAAGGUAUUAACAAAUCCUCCAUACUGCUCGGUUUCUAUCGCAGGCAGUUGGCCACGUGCUUGCAGUGACGAUGCUUGCUGAGCUGCACAGUCUUUGGGGCGAUCGUGGCUCAAGAGUUGGGAGUUCGCCUUGUAAUCGGAAGGUUGCCGACAUACAUCGCCGCUUUACGUCAACUCCGAAGCCCUUUGGAACAGGGCCCUGUGCAGCACUGUUCAGCAAGAGCAGUGAGGUUUCAGUUGUAAUGCUGCUUACAUUUGUCACAUGUUUUUUGCAUAUGCAAUAAUGUUGCAUAUUCCACAGCCCUACCCUGUCUUGACAAGUAAAUUUAAGAAUCUGUUUAGGACUUAUUUAGCUUAUUACUCACUUUGAAUUUUUUUUUUAUUGAAACUAAGCUUCUGGCUUAUUGGUGUUAUUUUAGUCAUUAUGCAGCCGUAUUGUUUGUAAAGUUGGUGAAGCCUGCAGUCGGCUGAAACUGAAGAAGUCACAUAGAUAAGUGAUAAAAUGUUUCUACUAAACGCUGGGUCCAGAUGAACAGAAAUAAAUUUCUAGGAUCCGAUCAGUUACUACUCCAUGGUUGUUUUGUAUGUUAACAAGAACAAAAUAAGUGAAGUAGACUUACAGGGCUUGUUCAAAGAGGUUUUCAAACAUAUGGUUUUAACCAAAAAAGCAUGGGUGCUUUUCCUUAAAAAGUGCAAAAAAAGAAAGAAACAGGCAAUUGUUAAGAACGCCUUAGGUGAAGCAGUGUUAGAUAAACUAACAAAACACUGCUAUUAAAAAAACUAUUGGCAUAUAAAAGCUUCCAUUAAGCUGAAUAUUAUUUAUAUUAUUGCAUACAUAUGGUUGACAGAAAGUGACCUCUGUAGCUAUUUCCCAUUGAGGAUUGCAAAAGAAACCACAAAAACGAAUAAAACCAACUUACUGAUUGUUUGUACAUGUGCAGAGGAGGCAAAGUGGAUAUACUGGAUAAAGAAUGCUGAAUAUGGAGCUGCCAUAAUAAAAAAUAAAAACUAGUUAGUGUGAGACCUGGUUUUUAUUUAACCAGUAAGGAAAUUGUGAUGCACACUCCACACCAGUUGGAGGCGCUGGUCCUCCAACUUGUCUGUCAGCCUCAAAGAAGAGACGACCAAUGACGACCCAGCAGGGAAGUAUUGAUGUGGUUGACAUCUGUCCAGUGUUUGGUAUAUUCUCUAUUGUAACCUUCAUUGUAAGCUUGCUUUGGCGUUAUAUCACACUAGAGUUAGCAAGUGUGUUGGUAGCAUUCAGAGCAUAUUUCUCCUGUUUUGGCUUCCCUUCAUUGGC